CCCCUUCGCUGCUCCCAGAAGAAUGUGAUGAAUCGAGGGUUUCCAGACCGGCUUUGCGCCGUAAUUGCUGUAAGCCGUCGCCACAUGGAAUCCAGCCCGGCCGCCCCAUCCCCGUCCCGAAAGCCAGGCCGGAUAGGAACCCGCGCUGCCAGUCUGGCCUGUUCUGCCAGCCUCCGUUAGCAGAGGUGGGUUGGACACCAGGGCGGGGGAAGAGCAUGAGUGGAGAUGGGGAGGAAGCACCCACUAAAGUAUCCUCAGCAUCACCAACUCAGAGCCUCCAGUUCAACUCAUCACUCCAGGGGCUAAAAAUGCGGCCAAGUCUAGCGGACGGAGCAGAGGACCGGGAGCCAGGAACUCCUGCUUUCUAACCCCAGCACUGCCACCUGCUGGCCAGGGAACUGCGUAAGCACCUUAGCAGGAGGCAAACUGCCAGGUCAGGGGGCGAGUGGGGCGUGUCCCAGCAUCACUAAACCCAGUCGUCACCAGCAAACGUCCGAGUUUUUUAUCCUGCUUCGGUGCCCCUCCGUGCACGGCUCCCCUGGGGCCAGGAGAAAGGGGAGUUGCACCGGCCUGGGGAUUAGCAGGUGAAACAGCCCUGCUGACUGAUCUGUGCAUCUGUAACGUGUUAGCCCCGUUUAAAAAUGACUGGACGUAAGAGCAGCCCUUCGCGGCGAGCAGGGAGAACAUCCGCUGGAGGAAACGUCCUUGAAGGAGCCCGUCAGCACUCAUCUUCCAAAAUACUCCACGGCCUCACCUGGACUGGGCCCAGGCAGGGAGCAAACCAAUGACCUCCUGAGCGAACAGCACGAGUCUGUUUGUACAGCUUGUAUAAAAGAGUCAGGCUCUCAAGCCGAGAGGAGUCAUAGACUCACAUCCUCCGUAGGUAAUCAUCCGACCCCCACCGACCCGGUGGAUCACACACGCAAAAACUGAAAAAUGACAAUCACUGAAAUGUGCGCCUGAGAGUGAUGCACCCCGUAAUUUACAGAUUGUCAUUUUUCAGGCUAAAGUCUGUUUUUAAGCGGUAUCAGAUACAACCCUCCCCCCAACCCCGCCCUGUAGAUCAGCAGCAAGAUUUAACCCCCUUGCCUGUCCGUUCCCUGGCUUUGACCCUUACCACUUGAGCUACAGACGUAGCAGCUAGCCCCUUUCCAGACCAGCAGUUGGAGGAGGAUGUAACCCACCUAUUACUCAAGGGUUACACCAUCAUUUCGAAGGCAGCAGUCGACUUCUCGUGCUCAGGAAUCCUGAUUCUAUUCUCAGUUUAGGGGGAAGGCGUGUGGGUAGAGAUAGGGCAACCAAUGCUCUGAAAGGCAGCAUGGUGCAGCAGAUAACACUGGAGGUCUCCUCUUAGAGCACUGGGUUGUGGGCCUGCCAUGACCUUGCGUAAACUCUCUGCUAGCUUAUUUAAAAAAUGGAAGGAGGGGAUUGGUCAGGAGCUCUUCCCUAACAGUCUUCGAGGUGGGGUUCAUGGUCUUAGUUCAUAGGAACUGCGGAAGAGGCGGGAAUUGAAACAGCGCUUCAAAGAGGUGAGAUUUGAACUCAUGGUUAGAGCUGGGUGAAUAACACAUUUUUCUAGUUUUCUGCAAUUCCAAAAAAAAAAAAAUGGAAAUAUUUGGACAAAACAAACAUUUUGGACAAAGCAGGACGC
Chrysemys picta bellii (western painted turtle) is the source of this 1651-nucleotide long non-coding RNA. RefSeq lists it as uncharacterized. The record is from RefSeq and is a predicted model, not a curated record. Lineage: Eukaryota; Metazoa; Chordata; Testudines; Emydidae.